GGUAUUGCGCCGGUAUGAACGGAUAGCUCUGAUGCUGCUAAAUAUGGAAUAAUUUUAUCCCAAUACCU
This 68-nucleotide transfer RNA is filed under the name Melinna cristata. Its description in RNAcentral is "tRNA-Ile". Lineage: Eukaryota; Metazoa; Annelida; Polychaeta; Terebellida; Melinnidae. The record is from RNAcentral.